This 550-nucleotide ribosomal RNA is filed under the name uncultured bacterium. RNAcentral's name for it is "bacterial SSU rRNA". It matches the Rfam family "Bacterial small subunit ribosomal RNA", at positions 840 to 1389 of the family's 1533-position model. The record is from RNAcentral.
UCCGCGCCGUAGCUAACGCAUUAAGUGCCCCGCCUGGGGAGUACGGCCGCAAGGCUAAAACUCAAAGAAAUUGACGGGGGCCCGCACAAGCGGCGGAGCAUGCGGAUUAAUUCGAUGCAACGCGAAGAACCUUACCAAGGCUUGACAUAUACUGGACUGCGUCAGAGAUGGCGUUUCCCUUCGGGGCUGGUAUACAGGUGGUGCAUGGUUGUCGUCAGCUCGUGUCGUGAGAUGUUGGGUUAAGUCCCGCAACGAGCGCAACCCUCGUUCUAUGUUGCCAGCACGUGAUGGUGGGGACUCAUAGGAGACUGCCGGGGUCAACUCGGAGGAAGGUGGGGAUGACGUCAAAUCAUCAUGCCCCUUAUGUCUUGGGCUUCACGCAUGCUACGAUGGCCGGUACAGAGGGUUGCGAUACUGUGAGGUGGAGCUAAUCCCUAAAAGCCGGUCUCAGUUCGGAUUGGGGUCUGCAACUCGACCCCAUGAAGUCGGAGUCGCUAGUAAUCGCAGAUCAGCAACGCUGCGGUGAAUACGUUCCCGGGCCUUGUACACA